RNAcentral lists this ribosomal RNA (632 nucleotides) under uncultured fungus. RNAcentral describes it as "eukaryotic LSU rRNA". It matches the Rfam family "Eukaryotic large subunit ribosomal RNA", at positions 24 to 664 of the family's 3401-position model. Lineage: Eukaryota; Fungi. The record is from RNAcentral.
CCCGCUGAACUUAAGCAUAUCAAUAAGCGGAGGAAAAGAAACUAACAAGGAUUCCCCUAGUAACUGCGAGUGAAGCGGGAAAAGCUCAAAUUUAAAAUCUGGCGGUCUUGCGGCCGUCCGAGUUGUAAUCUGGAGAAGCGUUUAUCCGCGUCGGACCGUGUACAAGUCUUCUGGAAGGGAGCGUCGUAGAGGGUGAGAAUCCCGUCUUUGACACGGACAACCGGUGCUUUUGUGAUGCGCUCUCGAAGAGUCGAGUUGUUUGGGAAUGCAGCUCAAAAUGGGUGGUAAAUUUCAUCUAAAGCUAAAUAUUGGCCAGAGACCGAUAGCGCACAAGUAGAGUGAUCGAAAGAUGAAAAGCACUUUGAAAAGAGAGUUAAACAGUAUGUGAAAUUGUUGAAAGGGAAGCGCUUGCAAUCAGACUUGAGCGCGGCGGUUCCCCCAGCCUUUUGGCUGGGCUACUCCGUCGUGUCCAGGCCAACAUCGGUUCUGAGGGUCGGUUAAAGGCUCUGGGAAUGUAUCUACCCACGGGUAGACUUAUAGACCAGGGUGUCAUGCGGCCUCUCGGGACCGAGGAACGCGCUUCGGCUCGGAUGUUGGCGUAAUGGUUGUCAGCGACCCGUCUUGAAACACGG